RNAcentral lists this long non-coding RNA (499 nucleotides) under Homo sapiens (human). RNAcentral describes it as "HSALNT0341541". Lineage: Eukaryota; Metazoa; Chordata; Mammalia; Primates; Hominidae. The record is from RNAcentral.
AAUCUGUUCUCUUUCAGGCUCACUGUGCAGAUGGCGUGCAAUUAAGUGGGUCGGUGCAGCAAACCCUCGUAUCCUCCCGCUUCCCUAAAAGCAGAGGAUUGAGCCGCUGCACUCCAGCCUGGGCAACACAGCGAGACCCUAUGUCUUAAAGAAAGGGCAGAAGUGGGGACCCCUCUCCCACCCCCUUCCCCUGCUCCAAGCCAAAGCGUUUGAAGCAAGAGGUUGCCUCCUGUGAGUUUCCCCCAGUCCCUGGAGGCCUGGGCUUUGGGAGGUGUGUCCAGGCAGAGGACAGAGGUCUUGUGCAAAGGGCCGCUUUUCCCUUCGCCCACCCUGCGCCCGCCCAGCCCCUUAUCCGAUGGGAAAGCCUUACUGACUCUUUUCCUCGCAGAAGCGCCCAGAUGCUGUUUAUGCAACCUCUCCAGAAUCUCAGUGUACUGUACUUUUUAAAAAGUGAUUUGAUUCAAAGCACUCAUUCUUUAAUUAAACUUCAUUUAGCUGC